CAUAUACUUUCUGAUAUCUUCUAUAAUGCUCUAUUCAUGUAAGUGUACUUGCCCUUUUGUGUCUUGCAGAUAUGCGGAUCUGUACAUUACUUAGAUGAUGGUUUUUGUUCCGUUUUAUAAAAGAAUUGGCAAAGAAAUCAUCAUGGUCAACAUUGUUUUGAUUUUUGUUAUGGAUGUACUGAUUACAUUGCAUAUUGUGGAGUCAUAUGUUCAAGGAUCGGAGGAGUCUUCUUCUACAUGAUUACUGCUUUUGUGGCGGUUUUUUGUUUAAUCUAUUGAAAAGUUUGUCAGUUCUCUUAACUUCUCAUCUAGCAGGCAGUUCUCAGCUGAAGCUUGUUGUAGUAUGGAUUUAUUAGCUACUGAAUUGGGCAUUGUGAGCUGUUGAUUGACUAAAGAGGCAGCCCUCAGAAGAUUUUUGAUUAUUUCUCCAAUAAGUGAAUUCCUUCGAGCAACAGUAGUUAUUUUCGGGAUUUAUUUGAUGGAUGAUCUAGAUUGUCUCCCUAUCUAUUUUCUUGCUUGGUAUGACUGGAAUUCGGAAGAGGCGUGCGCCCGUGAAACUGUUUGUGUCAGUGUGUGCUUGCGCGUGCAUUCAUUCCUGUUAGAUCCUUUAAGCCUCUAAGCUCCUUUGAUUGCUUUGUGCAAUGUCGAUCUUAGUAUUUGUCCUGUUGA
This is a long non-coding RNA of Triticum aestivum (bread wheat), 669 nucleotides long. RefSeq lists it as uncharacterized. The transcript has 2 exons. NCBI's taxonomy places the organism in Eukaryota, Viridiplantae, Streptophyta, Magnoliopsida, Poales, Poaceae. The record is from RefSeq and is a predicted model, not a curated record.